This 256-nucleotide ribosomal RNA is filed under the name uncultured bacterium. RNAcentral's name for it is "partial 16S ribosomal RNA". It matches the Rfam family "Bacterial small subunit ribosomal RNA", at positions 78 to 334 of the family's 1533-position model. The record is from RNAcentral.
UCUUUCUUUGCUGGCGACCGGCGCACGGGUGAGUAACACGUAUCCAACCUGCCCUUUACUCGGGGAUAGCCUUUCGAAAGAAAGAUUAAUACCCGAUAGUAUAAUGAUUCCGCAUGGUUUCAUUAUUAAAGGAUUCCGGUAAAGGGAUGGGGAUGCGUUCCAUUAGGUUGUUGGUGAGGUAACGGCUCACCAAGCCUUCGAUGGAUAGGGGUUCUGAGAGGAAGGUCCCCCACAUUGGAACUGAGACACGGUCCAA